CAAAUCGUUGAUGUGGCAUACUUCACCUCAUCAUAUUGUGUGGGGUUGAAAACUACAUUGAAACAAUUUGUUAAUCAAUAUAUUGAGGUGGAAUAUGCCACAUCAGCAGUUUA
Molecule: microRNA precursor, 113 nt
Filed under: Panax ginseng (ginseng)
Lineage: Eukaryota; Viridiplantae; Streptophyta; Magnoliopsida; Apiales; Araliaceae
Description: miR6140d stem-loop (pgi-MIR6140d)
Source: miRBase by way of RNAcentral